RNAcentral lists this ribosomal RNA (1424 nucleotides) under uncultured Klebsiella sp. RNAcentral's name for it is "bacterial SSU rRNA". It matches the Rfam family "Bacterial small subunit ribosomal RNA". The record is from RNAcentral. Lineage: Bacteria; Pseudomonadati; Pseudomonadota; Gammaproteobacteria; Enterobacterales; Enterobacteriaceae.
UGCAUGUCGAGCGGUAGCACAGAGAGCUUGCUCUCGGGUGACGAGCGGCGGACGGGUGAGUAAUGUCUGGGAAACUGCCUGAUGGAGGGGGAUAACUACUGGAAACGGUAGCUAAUACCGCAUAACGUCGCAAGACCAAAGUGGGGGACCUUCGGGCCUCAUGCCAUCAGAUGUGCCCAGAUGGGAUUAGCUAGUAGGUGGGGUAACGGCUCACCUAGGCGACGAUCCCUAGCUGGUCUGAGAGGAUGACCAGCCACACUGGAACUGAGACACGGUCCAGACUCCUACGGGAGGCAGCAGUGGGGAAUAUUGCACAAUGGGCGCAAGCCUGAUGCAGCCAUGCCGCGUGUGUGAAGAAGGCCUUCGGGUUGUAAAGCACUUUCAGCGGGGAGGAAGGCGGUGAGGUUAAUAACCUUGGCGAUUGACGUUACCCGCAGAAGAAGCACCGGCUAACUCCGUGCCAGCAGCCGCGGUAAUACGGAGGGUGCAAGCGUUAAUCGGAAUUACUGGGCGUAAAGCGCACGCAGGCGGUCUGUCAAGUCGGAUGUGAAAUCCCCGGGGCUCAACCUGGGAACUGCAUUCGAAACUGGCAGGCUAGAGUCUUGUAGAGGGGGGUAGAAUUCCAGGUGUAGCGGUGAAAUGCGUAGAGGAUCUGGAAGGAAUACCGGUGGCGAAGGCGGCCCCCUGGACAAAGACUGACGCUCAGGUGCGAAAGCGUGGGGAGCAAACAGGAUUAGAUACCCUGGUUAGUCCACGCCGUAAACGAUGUCGAUUUGGAGGUUGUGCCCUUGAGGCGUGGCUUCCGGAGCUAACGCGUUAAAUCGACCCGCCUGGGGAGUACGGCCGCAAGGUUAAAACUCAAAUGAAUUGACGGGGGCCCGCACAAGCGGUGGAGCAUGUGGUUUAAUUCGAUGCAACGGGCGAAGAACCUUACCUGGUCUUGACAUCCACAGAACUUUCCAGAGAUGGAUUGGUGCCUUCGGGAACUGUGAGACAGGUGCUGCAUGGCUGUCGUCAGCUCGUGUUGUGAAAUGUUGGGUUAAGUCCCGCAACGAGCGCAACCCUUAUCCUUUGUUGCCAGCGGUUAGGCCGGGAACUCAAAGGAGACUGCCAGUGAUAAACUGGAGGAAGGUGGGGAUGACGUCAAGUCAUCAUGGCCCUUACGACCAGGGCUACACACGUGCUACAAUGGCAUAUACAAAGAGAAGCGACCUCGCGAGAGCAAGCGGACCUCAUAAAGUAUGUCGUAGUCCGGAUUGGAGUCUGCAACUCGACUCCAUGAAGUCGGAAUCGCUAGUAAUCGUAGAUCAGAAUGCUACGGUGAAUACGUUCCCGGGCCUUGUACACACCGCCCGUCACACCAUGGGAGUGGGUGCAAAAGAAGUAGGUAGCUUAACCUUCGGGAGGGCGCUACCACUCUUACG